This 890-nucleotide ribosomal RNA is filed under the name uncultured bacterium. RNAcentral's name for it is "bacterial SSU rRNA". It matches the Rfam family "Bacterial small subunit ribosomal RNA", at positions 28 to 896 of the family's 1533-position model. The record is from RNAcentral.
AACGAACGCUGGCGGCGUGGAUUAGGCAUGCAAGUCGAACGUGAAACAGACUUUCGAGUUUGUGGAAAGUGGCGAACGGGUGAGUAUCGCGUGAGCAACCUGCCUUCAAGUGGGGAAUAACAUCUCUAACGAGAUGCUAAUACCGCAUAAUAGAUGUUUCGUAUGGAAUAUCUUAAAAGGUGACCUCUGACGCAAGUUGUCGCUUGAAGAUGGGCUCGCGCUCCAUUAGCUUGUUGGUGGGGUAAUGGCCUACCAAGGCUACGAUGGAUAGCCGGCUUGAGAGGGUGUCCGGCCACACUGGGACUGAGAUACGGCCCAGACUCCUACGGGAGGCAGCAGUCGAGAGGCUUCCACAAUGGGGGAAACCCUGAUGGAGCGACGCCGCGUGGGUGAUGAAGCUUCUUGGAGUGUAAAGCCCUUUUAGUGGGGACGAAUUAUAGGGAUGUUAAUACCAUCUCUUAUUGACGGUACCCGCAGAAAAAGCUCCGGCUAACUUCGUGCCAGCAGCCGCGGUAAUACGAGGGGAGCAAGCGUUGUUCGGAUUUACUGGGCGUAAAGGGCGUCUAGGCGGGCUUUCAAGUCAGAUGUGAAAUCCCUCGGCUCAACCGGGGAACUGCAUUUGAUACUGUUUGCCUUGAGUACAGAAGAGGAAAGCGGAAUUCCUGGUGUAGCGGUGAAAUGCGUAGAUAUCAGGAAGAACSCCAGUGGCGAAGGCAGCUUUCUGGGAUGAUACUGACGCUGAAGCGCGAAAGCGUGGGGAGCAAACAGGAUUAGAUACCCUGGUAGUCCACGCCGUAAACGAUGGGCACUAGGUGUUGGGAGUAUCGACCCUCUCAGUGCCGAAGCUAACGCAUUAAGUGCCCCGCCUGGGGAGUACGAUCGCAAGGUUG